RNAcentral lists this ribosomal RNA (501 nucleotides) under uncultured Glomus. Its description in RNAcentral is "SSU rRNA". It matches the Rfam family "Eukaryotic small subunit ribosomal RNA", at positions 569 to 1075 of the family's 1831-position model. The record is from RNAcentral. Lineage: Eukaryota; Fungi; Glomeromycota; Glomeromycetes; Glomerales; Glomeraceae.
AGCAGCCGCGGUAAUUCCAGCUCCAAUAGCGUAUAUUAAAGUUGUUGCAGUUAAAAAGCUCGUAGUUGAAUUUCGGGGUCAGUAGGUUGGUCGUGCCACUGGUAUGCACUGGUCUCACUGAUUCCUCCUUCCUGAUGAACCGUAAUGCCAUUAAUUUGGUGUUGCGGGGAAUCUGGACUGUUACUUUGAAAAAUUAGAGUGUUUAAAGCAGGCUAACGCUUGAAUACAUUAGCAUGGAAUAAUGAAAUAGGACGAUCGAUCCUAUUUUGUUGGUUUCUAGGAUUGACGUAAUGAUUAAUAGGGAUAGUUGGGGGCAUUAGUAUUCAAUUGUCAGAGGUGAAAUUCUUGGAUUUAUUGAAGACUAACUACUGCGAAAGCAUUUGCCAAGGAUGUUUUCAUUAAUCAAGAACGAAAGUUAGGGGAUCGAAGACGAUCAGAUACCGUCGUAGUCUUAACCAUAAACUAUGCCGACUAGGGAUCGGAUGAUGUAAUUUUUAAUGA